This is a long non-coding RNA of Alligator mississippiensis (American alligator), 1830 nucleotides long. RefSeq lists it as uncharacterized. Lineage: Eukaryota; Metazoa; Chordata; Crocodylia; Alligatoridae. The transcript has 3 exons. The record is from RefSeq and is a predicted model, not a curated record.
GGAGAGACCCAAAGCAUUGUUUUUCAACUUUUGUGCUUUACAGUUAUUUGUAAUCUUCAUGGACAGUCAGGUGUUCAGCAUAGUACAAGGUCACACCAAACACAGACUGUUUACUAUUACUGAUGCUCUGCUCCUCCAAAUACAUCACCACCUCCACUGACCCAUUCAGGAGAAAAAUAACACCAAAAUCAUCUUGAAAACAUAGUAAGCUGGUCUGCUUGGCUCCUUGGAUAACUGAACAUUUAUAAAAUUGCGCAGACUGCACUUGAUUAAGGUGCCACCACUUUGGUGUAUGCUGUUGCUGGCAAAUCUGCAGAUGACAAGAAACUGGGAAGGAUUGCAAAAUUAAGUAGAAUUCAGAAGGAUCUUGGUAAAUUGGAAAUCUGGGCUAGAGGCAACAGGAUUCAGUUCAAUGGUGACAAAGACAAGGUGCUGUAUCUAGGGAGGAAUAAUCAAAAACACCAAUAUAAAAUGUGACAACUGGCUGUGGAUGACAUCACUAUGGAGAAGGAUCUUGGGGAUUCAGCAAAUCACAGAUUCAGCAUGAGUCUGCAAUGUGAUACAGCUGCAAAAAAGGUAUAUGCAAAAUGCAACAGGAGUAUUGGAUGCAAGACACAGGAGGUGCUAGUGCCACGCUACUCAGAGCUGGUUAGGCCCCAUUUAGAGUACUGUGUGCAGUUCUGGGUGCCACAUUUUUUAAAAGACAUUGAGAAUUUAGAAAGGGUCCAAAGGCAGGUGACAAAAUGAUAAAGAGCUCAGAAGAAAACCAUCUAAGGAGAUGUUGAAAUAAAUAGACAUGUUCAGUUUGCAGGAAAGGCACUUAAGAGAGGACAUGAUAGCAAAUAUCUCAAGGGCUGCCAUAAAGAUGAAGGAGAACACCUUUUCUCCCUCGCUGCAGAAUAGGACACAGCAAUGGAUGAAACUUGGAUCAAAAUAGGGUUAGAUUGGAUUUUAGGAAAAACUUUUAGGAAAAACAGUGAGGCAGUGGAACAGAUUGCCAAAAGAAGUUGUGUUUUAGCUGUUUUUUCAGGCAUUGUGCCUGUUAAUUGUGUGGAAGGGUUAUCUGUGCAAAUUUUCCUUGGUGUGGACUAGAAUGGGAUAGCAACCAUAUAUCCUGCAGGCUGGAUAUAGCCCAUGGAGCCCCUACAUCCAGUUUACCAAGCUACCAGAAGUUGGGAGAGGGAGGCCAGCUUCAAAAUCCAGGGUCUCUGAUCCCCAGUAGACAUGACCAUUGGCAUCCCCACUGCUGCCCCUGCCACAGCUGCUGCCAUCCACAACCCAGUCUCUGACACCACCCCAAACCCUGUGCUGAUCUGUCCCGUGAAGGAGCCCCCCCGGUCCAAAUCCAACCAAAGGCAUAAGGUGAAUUUGACACCCCUGGGCUAGACAGCCACUUGUCUAGGAUAGGUGAGAUAAGGAUGACCCUGCCUUGAGCUGGGGGUUGGACUGUAUGUCCUCCUGAGGUCCCUUCCAGCCCUACUUCGCUAUGAUUCUAUGUCUGACAGUUUGAGUAAUUUCAAUGGUUAACUAUUAAAGGGUUGAAAACUUAGCUAUUGUUUGGUUAAGUAGCUACCACUCUUUCCUCUCUCUCCUAUGUUUUUUUUGUUUUAUGUCUAUACAUUACCUAUAGUAGUUCAAGCUAUACAAUUGGAUAUGAUAUCAUAACGUAUAAUGAUAUUAGUACAUAACAUUAUAAAAGAAAUGUAAUAUUUCUAAAGCUGUUUGUAAAAAAUUAACUGUUUCAGAUAAGGAAGUGUUAUUGUUUGGGCACCCUGACCACAAAGCAUAGCAAAUAGUUGCUGUCUGUUUGAAAUGUAAUCAAUAACAUAC